GACGAACGCUGGCGGCGUGCUUAACACAUGCAAGUCGAACGGAAAGGCCCUGCUUUUGUGGGGUGCUCGAGUGGCGAACGGGUGAGUAACACGUGAGUAACCUGCCCUUGACUUUGGGAUAACUUCAGGAAACUGGGGCUAAUACCGGAUAGGAGCUCCUGCUGCAUGGUGGGGGUUGGAAAGUGUCGGCGGUUGGGGAUGGACUCGCGGCUUAUCAGCUUGUUGGUGGGGUAGUGGCUUACCAAGGCUUUGACGGGUAGCCGGCCUGAGAGGGUGACCGGCCACAUUGGGACUGAGAUACGGCCCAGACUCCUACGGGCGGCAGCAGUGGGGAAUAUUGCACAAUGGGCGGAAGCCUGAUGCAGCAACGCCGCGUGCGGGAUGACGGCCUUCGGGUUGUAAACCGCUUUCGACUGUGACGAAGCGUGAGUGACGGUAAUGGGUAAAGAAGCACCGGCUAACUACGUG
This 468-nucleotide ribosomal RNA is filed under the name uncultured bacterium. Its description in RNAcentral is "partial 16S ribosomal RNA". It matches the Rfam family "Bacterial small subunit ribosomal RNA", at positions 28 to 507 of the family's 1533-position model. The record is from RNAcentral.